Molecule: ribosomal RNA, 574 nt
Filed under: Oidiodendron sp.
Lineage: Eukaryota; Fungi; Ascomycota; Leotiomycetes; Myxotrichaceae
Description: LSU rRNA
Rfam family: Eukaryotic large subunit ribosomal RNA
Source: RNAcentral
UGCCUCAGUAACGGCGAGUGAAGCGGCAACAGCUCAAAUUUGAAAUCUGGCCCUUUCAGGGUCCGAGUUGUAAUUUGGAGAAGAUGCUUCGGGUGUGGCCCCGGUCUAAGUUCCUUGGAACAGGACGUCAUAGAGGGUGAGAAUCCCGUACGUGACCGGUGGCCUCCCCCGUGUGAAGCUCUUUCGACGAGUCGAGUUGUUUGGGAAUGCAGCUCAAAAUGGGUGGUAAAUUUCAUCUAAAGCUAAAUAUUGGCCAGAGACCGAUAGCGCACAAGUAGAGUGAUCGAAAGAUGAAAAGCACUUUGGAAAGAGAGUUAAACAGUACGUGAAAUUGUUGAAAGGGAAGCGCUUGCAACCAGACUUGCGCGCGGCCGAUCAUCUGGUGUUCUCACCGGUGCACUCGGCCGCGCUCAGGCCAGCAUCGGUUUGGGUGGCUGGAUAAAGGCCUCGGGAAUGUGGCUCUCUUCGGGGAGUGUUAUAGCCCGAGGUGCAAUGCAGCCUACCCGGACCGAGGACCGCGCUUCGGCUAGGAUGCUGGCGUAAUGGUUGUAAGCGACCCGUCUUGAAACACGGA